RNAcentral lists this long non-coding RNA (281 nucleotides) under Carica papaya (papaya). RNAcentral's name for it is "long non-coding RNA (CPAP_LNC010726)". The record is from RNAcentral. Lineage: Eukaryota; Viridiplantae; Streptophyta; Magnoliopsida; Brassicales; Caricaceae.
UGGAUAAAGAGCAUACCCUAGAUAAGGACAGAAGAGGUGAGGGCACGGACUUUGUCAAGGUGGUAUACUCAACCCUGGGCUACUAGUCUGGCUAAGUCCUUCGACUGUUGGGGACAAUCAUUCACAAAGUGUUGAGUACUUCCGCACUUAUAGCAGGUGUUGUUCAAACACCGACAAGGUUGAUCACCAUGCACGUGACCAUAAUGAUGACAUGGUUAGAAAGGUCGGGCAGAUUGUCUAAUAGGUGGAGGCAGAGUAGGGGGAGGGGCAACUCGGGGUCG